This 1391-nucleotide ribosomal RNA is filed under the name uncultured bacterium. RNAcentral describes it as "16S ribosomal RNA". It matches the Rfam family "Bacterial small subunit ribosomal RNA". The record is from RNAcentral.
AGAGUUUGAUCCUGGCUCAGGACGAACGCUGGCGGCGUGCCUAACACAUGCAAGUCGAACGGGGAUAGAGCGCAGGCUUGCCUAUGCUCUUUCCUAGUGGCGGACGGGUGAGUAACACGUGAGCAACCUGCCCGACAACCCGGGAUAACAGCGGGAAACCGUUGCUAAUACCGGAUACACCAGUAUUAACGCAUGUUAUAACUGGGAAAGGGUUUACCGAUGUCGGAUGGGCUCGCGACCCAUUAGCUUGUUGGUGGGGUAAUGGCCUACCAAGGCUGCGAUGGGUAGCUGGUCUGAGAGGACGAUCAGCCACACUGGAACUGAGACACGGUCCAGACUCCUACGGGAGGCAGCAGUGGGGAAUAUUGCACAAUGGGCGAAAGCCUGAUGCAGCGACGCCGCGUGGAGGAUGAAGGCCUUCGGGUCGUAAACUCCUGUCUGGGGGGAUGAAUUUUUGACAGUACCCCCGGAGGAAGCCCCGGCUAACUACGUGCCAGCAGCCGCGGUAAUACGUAGGGGGCAAGCGUUGUCCGGAAUUACUGGGCGUAAAGCGCGCGUAGGUGGCUUGUUAAGUCAGGUGUCAAAAUGCGGAGCUCAACUCCGCAGCGCACUUGAAACUGGCAGGCUUGAGUGCAGGAGAGGAAAGUGGAAUUCCUAGUGUAGCGGUGAAAUGCGUAGAUAUUAGGAGGAACACCAGUGGCGAAGGCGACUUUCUGGACUGCAACUGACACUGAGGCGCGAAAGCUAGGGGAGCAAACAAGAUUAGAUACCCUGGUAGUCCUAGCCGUAAACGAUCCCAAGAGGUGUUGGGGGGGACCAAUCCUCCCAGUCCCGCAAGUAAACGCAUUAAGUACCCCGCCUGGGGACUACGGCCGCAAGGCUGAAACUCAAAGGAAUUGACGGGGGCCCGCACAAGCGGUGGAGCAUGUGGUUUAAUUCGACGCAACGCGAAGAACCUUACCAGGGUUUGACAUCCCCUGACAGCGUAUGAAAGUGCGCAUUCUGUUUUCGGAUAGACAGGGAGACAGGUGGUGCAUGGUUGUCGUCAGCUCGUGUCGUGAGAUGUUGGGUUAAGUCCCGCAACGAGCGCAACCCCUACGUUUAGUUGCUAACGGGUAGAGCCGAGCACUCUAGACGAACUGCCGUUGACAAAACGGAGGAAGGUGGGGAUGACGUCAAAUCAUCAUGCCCCUUAUGUCCUGGGCUACACACGUGCUACAAUGGCCGGUACAAAGGGAAGCGAAGUCGCGAGGCAGAGCGAAUCCGACAAAAGCCGGUCUCAGUUCGGAUUGCAGGCUGCAAUUCGCCUGCAUGAAGCAGGAAUCGCUAGUAAUCGCAGGUCAGCAUACUGCGGUGAAUACGUUCCCGGGCCUUGUACACACGGCCCGUCA